CCUACGGGAGGCAGCAGUGAGGAAUAUUGGUCAAUGGGCGGGAGCCUGAACCAGCCAAGCCGCGUGAGGGAAGAAGGUACAGCGUAUCGUAAACCUCUUUUGUCAGGGAACAAAGGCGGGGACUAGUCCCCGGAUGAGGGUACCUGAAGAAAAAGCAUCGGCUAACUCCGUGCCAGCAGCCGCGGUAAUACGGAGGAUGCGAGCGUUAUCCGGAUUUAUGGGGGUUAAAGGGUGCGCAGGCGGCCUGUUAAGUCAGCGGUAAAAGCCCGGGGCUCAACCCCGGCGAGCCGUUGAAACUGGCGGGCUGGAGUUGGAGAGAAGUACGCGGAAUGCGCGGUGUAGCGGUGAAAUGCUUAGAUAUCGCGCAGAACCCCGAUUGCGAAGGCAGCGUACCAGCUCCACACUGACGCUGAGGCACGAAAGCGUGGGUAUCGAACAGGAUUAGAUACCCCAGUAGUC
This 459-nucleotide ribosomal RNA is filed under the name uncultured bacterium. RNAcentral describes it as "partial 16S ribosomal RNA". It matches the Rfam family "Bacterial small subunit ribosomal RNA", at positions 338 to 795 of the family's 1533-position model. The record is from RNAcentral.